Molecule: ribosomal RNA, 652 nt
Filed under: uncultured Bacillus sp.
Lineage: Bacteria; Bacillati; Bacillota; Bacilli; Caryophanales; Bacillaceae
Description: bacterial SSU rRNA
Rfam family: Bacterial small subunit ribosomal RNA
Source: RNAcentral
GGAUGAGCCCGCGGCCUAUCAGCUUGUUGGUGGGGUAGUGGCCUACCAAGGCGACGACGGGUAGCCGGCCUGGGAGGGUGACCGGCCACACUGGGACUGAGACACGGCCCAGACUCCUACGGGAGGCAGCAGUGGGGAAUAUUGCGCAAUGGGCGGAAGCCUGACGCAGCGACGCCGCGUGGGGGAUGACGGCCUUCGGGUUGUAAACCUCUUUCAGCAGGGACGAAGCGAGAGUGACGGUACCCGCAGAAGAAGCACCGGCCAACUACGUGCCAGCAGCCGCGGUAAUACGUAGGGUGCAAGCGUUGUCCGGAAUUAUUGGGCGUAAAGAGCUCGUAGGCGGUUCGUCGCGUCGGCUGUGAAAACCUGAGGCUCAACCUCAGGCCUGCAGUCGAUACGGGCGGACUUGAGUUCGGCAGGGGAGACUGGAAUUCCUGGUGUAGCGGUGAAAUGCGCAGAUAUCAGGAGGAACACCGGUGGCGAAGGCGGGUCUCUGGGCCGAAACUGACGCUGGGGAGCGAAAGCGUGGGGAGCGAACAGGAUUAGAUACCCUGGUAGUCCACGCCGUAAACGUUGGGCGCUAGGUGUGGGGCUCAUUCCACGAGUUCCGUGCCGCAGCUAACGCAUUAAGCGCCCCGCCUGGGGAGUACGG